This is a long non-coding RNA of Talpa occidentalis (Iberian mole), 348 nucleotides long. RefSeq lists it as uncharacterized. NCBI's taxonomy places the organism in Eukaryota, Metazoa, Chordata, Mammalia, Eulipotyphla, Talpidae. The record is from RefSeq and is a predicted model, not a curated record. The transcript is spliced from 3 exons.
AGACCAGGAGCGAAGGGCAGCUUGGAAUUCAAACUAUUAAAAUAUCCUCCCAUGAAGAAAUUCGGGACCAAGAUGGUGCAUAGGUCAUUCCUGUCUUCACUCCCUUUCACAAGAACUAUUCAAGAACAAGACAUCACUGCAAGAAUCCUAGAACAUGUGGGUGAAGCAUCCCCCUACACAUUACAAACCAAAUGGACUGCAUUGGAAGGAAUCAAGAUGAACUCAUCGCCUCCUGUGAAGUCGCCUUCUCUCCUCAGCAUCCCAGUCUACAUUACCUCAUCCCUUCUUUAGAAUUUUUAUUUUAAUUUUUUUAUUUUUAUAUUCCCCAAACAAUUGCAACCCCUUUAU